Molecule: long non-coding RNA, 595 nt
Filed under: Homo sapiens (human)
Lineage: Eukaryota; Metazoa; Chordata; Mammalia; Primates; Hominidae
Description: non-protein coding LINC01002:14
Source: RNAcentral
AAACUUUUGAGUGGUUUGUGUCUCCUGAUUGGACUCCUACAAAUACAGAAUUGAUGCUAGGAAGGGUACCAGGAGAUAGACGCACACAGAUGGGAUUUGGGAAUAGGUUUGGUUAUCCAAGGAGCAGUGCUGAGCUCCUUGCAAUGGGAUAUGGGAUGCUGGUGAUUUCCAGGAAGUGCGCUCACAAUGACUCAAGCUGCCACAUACUGUUGAUUGUGAAAUGCCAGUUGAAGCAUAUGUCCUGCAAGCUUAGGGGUGCUACAAGUUGACCACUGCAGCAGUAAAGAUGACUCUGAAGAACGGCGUGGGAUGGUUCCUUUCAAAUGCACUUGAGCAGCGGUCUCCAACCACAGGGCCACAGAGCUGGAGCUGGAUCUACCAUGAAAGACUUGUGAAUCCAGGAAGAGAGACUGACUGGGCAACAUGUUAUUCAGGGUCUCCCUCUGUUGUCCAAGGCUGGAGUGUAGUAGUGCUAUCGCAGCUGACUGCAGCCUCAACCUUCCAGGCUGAAGCGAUCCUCCCACCUCAACCUCCCACGUGGCUGAGACUACAGGUGCUUGCCACUAUGCCCAACUAACAUUUGGAAUUUUCGUAU